RNAcentral lists this long non-coding RNA (15414 nucleotides) under Populus trichocarpa (black cottonwood). RNAcentral's name for it is "long non-coding RNA (PTRI_LNC002330)". Lineage: Eukaryota; Viridiplantae; Streptophyta; Magnoliopsida; Malpighiales; Salicaceae. The record is from RNAcentral.
AGGAGACGCCCGAAUUCAAAAACCCAUAAGCGAUCUCGUUCCAUUGGUCUUGCUUCAAUUGUACGACACUACCGAAAGACACGUAAACAACUGAUGAAGGUGGCUUUGUGUCAAGCCAUUCGAUGCAAUCAUCUGCCUUCAGGAAGUCUCCAUGGACCGUUGUCUUUGGUGCCUUAGUAUUUCUGAAUAGCGGCCCAACGGCCCUGAUGGGGAAGAUUUCGGACAUGUGCUUGAUAAGCUCUGGUUCAAGCUCUUCGAAUGUUUCCAUCAGGAUGCAAAAUGGCUUGUCAAGAUUUUUGUACUGACCUAAAAUAGCCCUCCUCAAGAAAGGAUAAGGAGUUGUAGGAUACAAGUAACUAGGCACUUCAUCAUAUUUUAGGAGAGGCAUCCAUGGUAGUUGGACAUCUAUCUCGGGGUGCUCCUCAUCAGGGAAAGGUACAGUACCGUGAUAGUAAUGGUAAUAUGAGGCAAAACAAGCGCAGGAUUGAACCCAAAGCAUUGCAGAAGGGAGACCUAGACUUGUGGCCACAUCUGUAACCCAAGGAAUGAAAGGGUUGUUUAUGAGGCAAGAAACAGGCCGCCCUUGCUCUGCAUUUUUCUUGAUCAUUUGAGGAAUUACUUGUUUACCAACAAGCUCAAGUUGAAGUAAGUAUUGAUCAAGGUCUUGGUGCCUAUCCUCGUCCUCUUCCCAUCCAUCUGCAAAGAAUUCAAACCGGAUAAAGCCAUCACCAAACGGGGUCAGCUUAUCUAUGAUGUCACUGGCUUGUCUCAUCUGUUCGCCAGUGGUUUCUGUAGUGGAGAAGGUGACAAGGAAGCCUUUGGAGGCAAGAAUUUUUCCAAGUCUAAGUAAAGGAUUUACAUGGCCUUGGCCUGGGAAAGAAACAAGGAAGAGAUGGCCAAGAGACUCGGAAACCAUUUUUCUCUUCCGGGUUUUUGGACAGGCAGAGAGACGGAAGAGAUUGAUGAACAGGAGAGGACUUGAUGAGUUUGGGAAUGAGUGGUGAGCAUGGAAUGAAAGGAUGCUGAUAUAUAUACCAUUUAUAAGGAGUUACAUUCAAAGUUUUUAGUGAUAGAUAGAUCUACAGAGACUGUUAGUUGGCUGACGGUCAAAUGCAUACAAUGUUUCAAUUAUAACUCUUUCCUUGGCUUCUUCCAACAGAAGAUGAAAUAAAAUUUGAUUACGCUAGUUAAUUAACUGUAGCUUUCAAUGAUUUUGCAGUCAUAUUAGAGCAAAAUGUAUAUUGUGAUUAUAGAAGCGAGAAACACAUCUAUUUGCAAUUUUGCAUGUCGAUUAUUAUUCUCUUUUUCCGAUCAUGGAAAUCAGUAGUCAAGACAUGUUUGAAAAUCUUUGGAAAACACUCAGAAACCCAAUACAUCGGGUAAACCAACAACUUAUACCGACUGAAUGAUGAACAUUAUGGCCAAGGUUAGCUAGUCAUUCCGCCCAACAAUUGGCUUCGCAGAAGGUUUGUCGGAUCGGCACCUCCCAUUGCCUGGAAAACAACUGUUGAGUUUCUGUCAGGAUGGGAUCCUGGAUGAGUCUCCUCUAAAAACUGUCGCAAGAACUGCAGAAUCAACCUCUAGUUCAGUCCUGGUACAUCCUAAAUUCCAAGCUAAAUCUGGUCCGUAGAAAGCAGCCCACGAUUCAGCUUUCGUAGAGAACAAAUACCCAAUUUAGCUGCGAAGCCAUGAAUUUAAUUUAAGGAUUUAUGGCAGUAAUUUUGCAAUUUUAUUUUAUUUUAUUUUCUUUUUUAUAAUAUUAUGGCUUUGAGACUUUAAUUAGUAAAGCUUUAUUUUUUUACAUGUGAUACACUGCUGGUUGGAUAAUUUUUUUAGCCUUUAAAAAAAUAUAAAAAUAUUAAAAAGUUAAAAAUUUAAUGUGUCAAAUAAAAAAAAACUUUUAAAAUAUUAAAAUAUUGAUAUAUUAGAUGAUAUAUUAUUUUUUUUAAAAAAUAUUAAUAUAAUGAUAUAUUAAAUUGACCUCGAUCAACUAUAAUGAAACUCAUUAUCCAAGAUAGGAAAAUGUAAUAAUCUCAUGAAAGCUAUACAAAAACAAAUUGAAAAGGAAAUCGUGACAAAAAAAAAACCAAAUUUAAAAAAGAAAGCACUCAAAAAAAUAAACCAGUGCAUACAAGCCAUCUAAAACGAUGUUUGGGUCCAAUAGAUAAAAUUGAUCAGACACCCAAGACAGAAAUAUGAUCGUCAUUUUAAACGCCCCCAUAAAAGUUUCACCAUGUGAUAAAGGUCUUGAAGAAAUUCGAGUUAAAUUCCUUCCUUCUCGACCAAUUCAAAAAGAAAUCUCCAUUGCCAUUAAUCAUAAAUAAAGAUUGUUAUUGAGAUGGCCUGCGCUAGCUGAAUAGCUAGCCUCCCUUUCUUUUGGGGGCAAACCAAAUGAAUUCAUUGAAACAAGGAGCGAAAAGGCACUCAAGCGGAAAGAAAAGCAUCCUGAUGAGAGAAGCCGAAGCUCCCACAAAAUUACAGACCUACAAAAGCAGACAAAAGAAUCCAUUUCAGAGCCAAAAAAUAUGUGCUUCCAGUUUCAAAUCCUUUGAAGCAGAGCUCGAGACCAGUUAAAUGGUGUUACUUCAACAGCAACCAGUUAUGCCAGCUGUUUUGACCAUUAGUUCUAGGACCUCCACGAAAUUUUUUUGGGUUUGAUGGGUGGUUAAGAUAACAUACCCAUCAACACUCUUUCUUUCUUUCUUUCUUUCUUUUUAUCAAGAACGACGGGGAUAAAGCCUAAAACAUAAAAUUACAAUUUACAAGCAAGGUAACAUAUAUCCCAUGAUUAUCUUCAACGAUUGAAUUUGAAAACAUCCCAUGAUAGUCUUGUAAUUAUGGUAAUGAAUCUGUGGGCAUGCAAAUGAACAGAUAGAAUAAUGGUAGAGCAAUUCAAUUUAAUUGGUGAACAUUGUAUAAAGUCCCGAAUUUGAAGGACUGGGAGUACGAAGAAAAACACUAGUAUCUCUUUACAAUCAACGUAUUUUGUUGAAGAUGAUAUAUUUGCUAGUAUUGAGUUUGUGAUUGUAGGAGAGUGCCAAUCAAAUCAAUGGAGGGUGAUGGAGGAUGAAUAUCAACAAUGGUUGAUCACUUAAAAAAAAUUAAAAUAGUGUUUUUUUGAUAAAAAAAAAUUAUCAAGAGGUUAAAAGUUGAGUUUUUAUUUGAUUUACUCAAAAUCAAUCCAGAUUUUUUAUCAGUUUGAAUCAAGUUAUUUAUGAAAAUUUUGUGGUAUUCAAUAAGUAACUGAUGAUAUCCUAUUAAUUAUUUUUCAGAUCUAUAUUGAAAAAAAAUACAAAUAAAAAAAGAAAGACAAAAUGAAACUCAUAACUUGCUAAAAAUAAUAAAAAUAUAUCUAUCUAAAAUUUCUCUCUCGUAAUUGUAUUUAUUUAAAAAAAAACUCAAGGAAUGAGUUUGGGAAUGAGUGGUAAGCAUGGAAUGAAAGGAUGCAGAUAAAUAUAGCAUUUAAAGUUUUUAGUGAUAGAUAGAUCAACAGAGACUGUUAGUUGGCUGACGGUCAAAUGCAUACAAUGUUUCAAUUAUAACUCUUUCCCUGGCUUCUUCGAACAGAAGAUGAAAUCAAAUUUGAUUACGCUAAUUAAUUAACUGUAGCUUUCAAUGAUUUUGCAGUCAUAUUAGAGCAAAAUGUAUAUUGUGAUUAUAGAAGCGAGAAACGCAUCUAUUUGCAAUUUUGCAUGUCGAUUAUUAUUCUCUGUUUCCGAUCAUGGAAAUCAGUAGUCAAGAAAAACACUCAGAAACCCAGUACAUCGGGUAACCAACAACUUAUACCGAUUGAAUGUUGAAGAUUAGUUACAAGUGCAAGUGCACUUCAUUCCUUGACUUCUGGUUGUCUAUGAAAGAUUCUGCACUAGUAUAUGCUUUCCAGCACGUCAUGCUAAGAAGGGAUAUUCAGUUCCUGCUGACGUUCAAAUUUGUUUUUUGAUCAAUGCUAUCGUACAUAGUGUCGAAUUUCUUUACGGAAACCAACGUAUCUUAUCCUCACAAUUUGUGAUGCUGUUGAAAGUUUCUCUCAGUCACCACUCAGCAAUACGAUAUUUGUAUUGUUCGGAGUUCUUGGCCCAGCAACUUCCAAUUGAAUCCUGAUGAGAGAAGCCGAAGCUCCUACAAAAUUACAGACCUAUAAAAGCAGACAAAAGAAUCCAUUUUGGAGCCAAAAAAAUAUAUGCUUCCAGUUUCAAAUCUAUAAGUUAGCCAAUCCUUUGAAGCAGAACUAGAGACCAGUUAAAAAUUCAACUGUUUUGACCAUUAGUUCUAGAAGAUGUGAACAGUUUACAUCUAAAAGUGUUUUGUGCUGGUGGGGUCGGGAGAAUGGUUCUGAUCAACUUGUGUGUGUGAUUUAUGCUUUGCGCUUUGCAGGGCAAUGCAGAGUACUUUUUUUUAAUAGAAAAAAAAUAAUACUUUUUAUAUAUAAAUAAAUUAUAUUAAAGUUAAUAAAUGAUAGCUGUGAAUUAUGUAUUCCAAAAACAUUAAGGAUUGGUUGAGAUUGGAAUUUUUUUUUCAUGCUACUCAAUAUGAAAACUUUGUAUCAUAUAUUUGUGUUUAGAUUAAUAUUGUUUUGUUUUUCUAUUGAAAGAUAGUUUUAUAAUUUUGAAAAUACCUAAAAUAAUUUCUUGGAGACUCACAUUGAUAUAGAAAUUCUUGCCAUUGGCCUAGAUUAGAGGGAGAAUCAAUAUAUUUCCUUAAGAAAAAACAGAGAGAGAUGAUGAUCAAAAUCUCUUUCUAUUUUGGAGUUGAUUAAUUUGGUUGCACGAUGAGUCUACCUAGCAAGCCACAACAUAAUAAUUCUUAAAUACCAAAAAAUAAAAUUUAAAAUAUUUAUGAACUAAAUUAUUUUUUUAUUGUUUCAUGCUUCAAGAAAAAAAAAAGAAAAAAAAAGCAAGAGAAUCUAGCCCUUACCAAAACCCAGACCAGCAAGCUCAGAGGUGUCGUUUAGCCGGGUUAUUACCCAUCAAAUAUAAAAUGACAACAACCCAAGAGGUGUCGUUUAGCUCUUAGGCUGCGUUUGUUUCCCGAAAAGUGGUUUUCAGAAAACUACUUUUCAAAUUUUUCUGUAUUUAUUUGCCAUUAGGAAAGUUGAUUAACGAAUAACACUUUGCGGUCAACGGAAAACACUUUUCAAUCAAAUAAAAAUUUGGCUUGGUUUCCAGGAAAGUGUUUUCCUUUUAUUUUGGGUGGAAAACACUUUCCGGAAUUUGUGAAAAAUUUAGAAAUGUCAUAUUAUUUGUUGAUUAUAUCAAAUUUGGUCCUCAAAUUUUUGAUUUCUAUAUAUAUUUUGUUUUGAAUAUUUGUUUUUCAAUUUCAUCCUUUAGAAUUUAAUUUUUAUAUUAACUUUGAUCCUCAUUUUUAUAAUUGUUAUUUGAUUUUCCCUUAACAUUUUUUAAUUGAAAAUUUUUAUCUAUCAAAUUUGAUCCUCAUUAUUUUGAUUGUUACUUAUUUUAUUUGAAAUAAUUUAUGAAAUUUUAAUUAUUAUUAUUUUAAUUUCUUCAUCUUUCAUUUUUUUUUUUUUAGAUUUGAUUUCUAUUAUUUUGAUUAUUAUUUAUUUUAUUUGAGAUAAUUUGAAAUCAUUUUUUUUCAAUUACAUUCUCAUUCAACUUUUUAAUUUGUAAGAUUUGUUCCUCAUUAUUUUAAUAAACUUGAGAAAAAUAAAACAUUAAUAAGUUAUUUUCCAGCUCAUUUUCCAUGACAUAACCAAACACUAGAAAGUAUUUUUCAAUUUAUUUUUCAUUACACUACCAAACAUCGGAAAAUAAUUUAUUUUUCCGGAAUUCAUUUUCCAAAAAAAACUACUUUCCAGCAAACAAACGGGGCCUUAAAUACACAUUUUUUUACCGCAUUUGUUACCACAAACGGGGCCUUAAAUACACAUUUUUUUACCGCAUUUGUUACCAUGCAUGUGAUUGGUUAUCUACUUUAGCUGCAUGCCUUAUAUGGUUUUUUAAUAAUGUGAGUAUAAUUUUAUUUAUACAUAUUUACUUAUAUAUUCUAUGUGAGUAUAAUUUUAUUUAUACAUAUUUACUUAUAUAUUCUAAUAAAAAAAUUAUCUUAACAAUUCGUUUAUAUUGAUACUUUUAGUCAGAAAACCUAUUGAAGAAUAAAUCUUUGAAUAAUAUUUUUUAAUGUUUUUCAUAGAUAUGUGAGGCUUACCUUUCUUUAACAUAAAAGUAACUUUUUAUUUAGCUCUUUCAAGCUAUAAAAUUACUUUUGACUCUCUCGUUGAAAACACCACCUUCCUUUUCUCCGCUUAUUUCACCUACCAUAGUUAUUCACGGUGGUGAAAGUUAAAUAUGAGUUAUUGAGUUUUAAAUAAUAAUAUGUAUGUUUCACACACAUUAAAUUUUUUUUAUGUAUAUUUUUGUGUUGAUAUUAAAAAUAAUUUUUUUAAAAAAAAAUAUUAUUUUAAUAUAUUUUCAAACAAAAAACAUUUUAAAAAGCAACUAUUAUCACAAUAACAAAUAUGUUCGACAUCUUUGAAAAUUUGUAAAACAAAUAUGUAUUUAAUUCUCAAAAAAAAUAAUCUCAUUGCUAUCUCAGCUAGAACACAAGAUAAGACAUUUUAUUUUCAAUCAAUAUUAAUAACUUGCAUAUUAUUUUAAAAAAAUCCACCUUUUAAACUAACAUAUAAUUAUUCAUAAAAAAAUUAAAAAUAUUUAUAAAAAACUUCAAUUGUUUUUUAAAAACAAAGAUAUAAUUGAACAACCAUUUAAAUAUAAUUGAACAACCAUUUAAAUAUUAUUUUAAUAAAUUGAUUCCAAUAUAUAUUUUUUUAUAAAAAAGGAAACAUCCAAAAACCUGGUACCAAGGUCUUUAGUGGCAGAAAGCGGGCUUGGAUAUGCAGGACUCCUAACUAUCCUUGUACACUAUUGAGCACAUAAACAAUGGAAACCUGGUCCGAAACCAUUAACGCUGGUGCUGAAAAGUGAAAUACAUAUAAAAGAUCGAGGUUACAUUUCUGCUGGUAGUGAAAAGUGAAAACUUCUUCAAUUUAUUUUCAGUGAAAAGCUUUUGAUUUUUUGAAUGUUUAAAAAAUAUAUUUAUUUGAAAAAAAUAUUAAAUUAAAAUUCUUUAUAUGUUUUUCAAUAAUUUUGAUAAUAUAAUGAUAAAAAUUAAAAAAUAUAUUUUCAAAAAGCAUAUUAAUGCAAUGAACUACUGUUGCAGGCAUGAAUAUUCCAUCAAUAUCAAUAUAUCGAGCAUUAUUUUAUUUUAUUUUAAUAUCAUCUCUGCUUUCUCACAUCCAGACCACGUAUAUUUCUUCAGUCCGGUUAAAAAAAGGACCAUUAUUAGUGCUAAAAGUAGAGUAACAUAGUCUUAAAUAUGAUAUGAUCUACAUUUCAGGAUUUGGAAUUCUUUCCUUGGAAUAAAUAAAAGGUAAACAAAACUUAAUAAAAAAACGCAGUAAUCCUAGCAUUAUCCAAUCACAAUUAUUGGCCUUCGUUGCCUUAUGUAUAUUGAUGAGGAAACAACGAGCGUACAACCAUCGCUUGGCAGGAUUAUCACUAACGUCCUUGCCUUAAUUAAUCUUCAUGUCACGAUUUAUCAUUGCACAAUCCCUUCACGGAACCGUGCAUACUUCAAUUGAACCACAACUCUCAAUAAUUUCAUCUACAAACAACUGAAUAUUCUUGUCCGAUGAACCACCACCGGCAACUGCCUCUCUUGCCGCGAUCCUCAAUUCCCUUGCAUUGGAUUUAAGCUCCACAGACUUUGGUCCGUCCAUGAUCUCUCUAAUACAUCUUUCAACUUCCUCAUUGCUAACAAUCCCAUCUUGAUUUGCUCUAAGCCUUAGACCAAUGCGAAAAACAUCAACAAUAAGUUUUGCAUUUGUUGGCUGGUCGCUCCACUUGGGGUAUGCAAUCACCGGCACGCCCGCAGCAAUUGUUUCUAACAUAGAAUUCCAUCCACAAUGAGUUAUAAAACACGCAAUAUAUAGCUGGGUGGGCUAAAACUUUGGUUUGUGGAGACCAUGAUACAACCACCCCUUGGUCUUUGGUCUCCUCCAAGAAUCCUAAUUAACGGCAAUUGUCCUGCACCAUCAGGUUCUUGUAAGUCUGGUUUCUUAACCGCCCAAAUAAAUGGAGUGUUACUGUUCUUCAGGGCUUUCGCCAUGCACUCCAUUUGUUUGGCUGAUAAGACAACAAGGCUUCCAAAAGAUAUAUACGUAUAUAACUGAAGAAGGGGCUCCCUUGUUUAACCAUUCAAUGCAAGUAUCUUCUGCUUUCCACAUCUCGACACCCGUAUCGUGAUCUUUAUCUUCACCAAGAAGUGAUGGAAGAACUAGAGGGCCAAUGGGACUAAUAGGGCAGAGAUCAGCCAUGGACUCAAUAGCAUCUUUCUCAAGCCCAAAGCAUGAGUUCCCAAGAACCCAUUUAUACAUCUUCAUGUUCUGGAACAUCUCUGAGAACAAUUUAGGAAAGAUACCAUAUGGAUUUGAAGGAAGAACAAAAGAAGGUAAAUCUUCCGUAUUCAACAGUGGCAAGCCUGGCAACUCAACACUCAUUUCAGGAUCUGUUAAAGUAGGAAAUGAGUUUAGCUUAUUGUAAAAGCGAUAAUAAAUGGCAUAAAGUGAACAUGGCUGUAUCCAAAACAUGGCACAGGGAAUUCCAUGAUUGAUGGCAACAUCAGCUACCCAGGUAACAAAUGGGUUGGUGAUGAUGCAAGAGAGCUUUUUGUGACCAUUACUGGGGAAAUGCUCCUUUAUAAGGUUUGAGAGAUUGAUGGUUCCAAAUUUGGCUAAACUCUUCUUGUACGAUUCGUAAUUAACCAUGCGGUCGUAGUUUAGGCUUUGACCAUCAGAGAAGAAGCGAACCUGGACUCCAGAGAUUGAGAUGGUGGAGGAGGUGGGGUUGAUGGUGGAAGAUUUGAGCAUGCGGUGACGGGUGAAUUCAGUGGUGGCCAGUGUGACAUGGAGACCUUUAUUGACCAAGCAUUUACCUAGUCUAACCAUGGGGUUUAAGUAACCCUGAGAUGAGAGUGCCACCAUUAGCACAUGAAUUUCUUCUUCUUUGUUUUCCUUCAAGAUUUCCAUGACUUCACAGCUCACACAACGAGCGAGAGAAAGAGAGAUUAGGUUAAGGAGGGCAGGCGAUUGACAAAUCACUGUAUAUGGAAAAAUCACGAAGGACAACUCAGCAAAGUAUAGACGCAGGCAAUGACGCAUGGCAUUAUAGGGAUCCAGAUUAAUAGUGUGUUUGAUAUUAUGAUAGCUGUUGUGGUUGUGAUUUAAAAAAAAUUAUUUUAUAAAAAGUAUUUUUAGUUGAGGUUGGUUUGAAAAAAUAGGUGUUUGGUUAAAACUGUAGUUAAAAUUGAGGUUGAAGAAAAAGUAGUUUUAACGUGUUUGGUUAAAAAAAUGUUUUUCAAAUUGAGGUUAUAAAAUAAUUAUAUAUAUAUUAAUGAUUUUUAACUUAAAUAUUGUAGAUUUAACUACUGUUAUUACAUCAUGAAAUAAAUAAUAUUGAUAUCAAAUAUUUUUUAUUAUUCCAUUAAACUAUAUACAAUGUCAUUACAUACGAAAUCUAUCCAACAAGGACUAUAUUUUUUAUAGUUUCUUAAGCGCGCAACAACAAAAACUGAUUUUUUAAAUUUAUGUAGUGUUAUUAAAUAAUAAAGAUUGUGAUAUCUUUAUUAUUGGAAUUGCGAUCAAAUUCCACAAAUGUUACGUCAUCAUGCGAUAUCUUUCUAAUUUAUGUAGUGUUAUUAAAUAAUAUUAAAUACUAGUUUUUUAAGUACAACACAAUUUUUUUUAAAAAAAAUUACAAUUUCAUUAUAGUAUAAUUAAAUUUAAUUCACCUUAAACUAAUUUUAAAAAAAAAACAAAAAAAAAUAUUGUUCACGAUUAACUGCACUGGUGUUGUUCGGGAAAAAAAAACUAAACUUUUCUUAUUGGUUUUUUUUUUAAAAAAAAAGAACAUCUUCACUGAACAGUGGAGCCAUGAGAAGCAGCAUUUUGCUGCUUCUCCAAUCCAGCGGCUGGGCAGCAAAAAUCAGUAGUCCCUACCAAGCAAAAUCAGGUUUGUUUACUUUACUAAAUAUAAAAAUAUAUGGUUGCGAGUGAACCUUACCCGCAACCACAAUACCAAACACCUAAGAAGGUGAGAAUGACAAAACUCAAAUCAAAGUGUUAAUCGUGUAUCCAAUCUCGAAAAGAAAUUAGAAAUAAAUAAAUAAAAGUGUUAAAUCAUCAUCAUGAAGAAAGAGAAUAAGAAAAAAUUAAAAGUAGUAAUCCAUUAUCGUUGAUAAGUGAUUUUGAUUGUUCUAUCUUAUUUUAAAAAUCUUCGUCCACUUUAAGAUUCUCGGUGCACUUUAUUAGUGUUAAACGUUGUAAUAAAAAUUAUUUUUUAAAAAAAAUAAAUUAAAAUAAUAUAUAUAUUAUUUUUUAAAUUUUAUUUUUAAUAUUAACACAUUAAAAUAAUUCAUAAAAUAAUAUACAUGGUCGGAUAAACAAAUAACCUUUUUAAAUUAAAAAGCGAUGAGUUCAUGAUACAUAAUUUUAUUAAAAAAAAUUAUAAAACUUAAUUUUUAAUAAAAAUAAUAUUAAAUAAUAAAAUUUAAAUUUAAAAAAAAUAAAGAAAAUGAAAAAAAUACUCUAGUAAAUAAUAAUCAAGUAGGAGGGGUACAGUUUAUUUGCUAAAAUGACAGGCACGUCCCUCCCUGGAUGGGCUCAAGUAUUGCCCCUUUUAUUCCACACCAAAAAAAAAAAAAAAAAGCAGCCCAUCAAGGGAAAACCACCCAGAAAGCUGGUCCCAAACUCUCGGCGGACAGAAAGCGAUCUCAGCAGUCUGAUAUCAACAUUAUAAAAAUGGAGUUAACUAACCGCUUGUCAAAGUGAUUUCAACAUUCAACCCAAGUAAACAGAGCAAAGCCAACUUUCUUUGAUGAAUGUUAGUUCUAACCGCUCUAAUUUCUUAUAAUUAUAUAGUGAAAAAAGACUUGCUGGACGUUUUCCUAUUAAAAAAAAACUCAAAGUUUGAGCAUUCUGUUGCUAAACCUUGCUAUUAAUUAUUAUAUAUUUAUUAUAGUUAUUUAAUUUAGGCUUCCACGCCACUAGAAUGACCACAACUCGCACAGUAAUAGUCGUGCUUGUAGAAUUAAAAAAUUUCCAAUUGAUUUGACAAAUAUUUUGGUGGUCUUAUUUGUUAAAUGUCAUCUUAUUUUUUGUUAUGGUAAUUAAAUUAAAUUAAAUAUUUGAAAAAUCAAGGUUUUAUUUCCAAAUAUCAUUUUUGGAUCACUUAAGCCUUUUUUUUUAAUGAUUACCAAGUUUGUGAGGUGUUAUUUAAAAAAAUAUUUUACAAGUAAUUUUAUCAGUUGUCAUUUAUUUUUACAUAUCUUUCACUCAAAAUCUUCAAAUUUAACUCUUUAAACCUCUAUAAAUAAAUAAAGGGAUUCACUAUCACAAGAAAGGAAAGGGAAAAAAAAAAGUUAUACUCAAGUAUUGAAACUCUGCAAAAAAAAAAAGCUGCCAAGCCUUGCACCUCAGUAGAGUUCACCUUCAAUACUUUGAGGAUAAAUCAAAGAAGUUAUCAAAUUUUGCUCAAAACUUCAUAUCACACUUUGCAAAAAGCAUGCCAAGUCUUCACAUUUUUCAGGAUAAAUUUGUAGGUGCAAUGCCAUAUAUAACGACCACGACUUGCAUAGUAGUGGUGGUGCUACAAUAUCAUAGUUUUUUAGGGUGGGCUACUGGGCUUGAAAUGUUUUCACAGGCACCUAAUACUCUUUUAUGUCAGAGUGAUGUUGUGUUUUCUUUUCAUGAAUCAAACACAAAUUACACACAUAAAAUAAAUUUAAUAAAAUUUUAUAUAAUUACCGUAUUUUAUUCGUAGAACAUGAAUCGUGAUACUUGUACAAAAAUCUUAUAAUAUUUAAUUUAAUUUUCUUUAUAAAAGUUUGUCGUUAUAGUCCCCACACAAAAAAGAAAAAAGUGCAAAAAAACACAUUCCCAACCAAACCAAAAACAAAUAAUAGUAGUGAGAAGAGGAAGUCAGAGUUCCUAGAAAAUAAUAAAAAAUUAGUUGAGGAUGUUAAAAAAAAAUUAAAAUUUGACAGUAUAUUUUUUACUAAUGAGAGCCAUGUUGACAAGAAAAAUUGAAUUUAAGAAAGAAAAGUUCAAAAUCAGAUAUUUAUAGACUCAAUUGAAGGUUUAAUUGAAUUUGUAGAGGGUUUGAUUGAAAGAAAAAUUGAUUUUAAGUCAAUUUAAGCUUUAAUUGAAAGAAAUUAAAGUACAGGGCUCAAAUUAUAAUUUUUAAGAGUUGAUUUGGUCAAAUCAGGAGCUUCAUUGCAUAAAUAUCAAAGUUUGAUGCCCAAUUAGGGACUUGAUUGAAGAAAUCCAAAACCAAUAACCAAACUAGAAAAUACAAAUAAAUAAAGGAACUGAAAUUAUCCGAAUCAAGAGCCAAAUUAAAAGUUUAUUGAUCAAUUGAGAUUCAAAUUGGAUAAAUUCGAGACCAAGUAUCAAAAUGAAAAGGACGACCAACUUUAGAGUUGACAUUUAAUUUUGACAAAGACACAAUUAAAUCGAUUCUUAAAAUUAAAAUCGCAACUGAAAACUUGAUUGAACAAAUAAAAAAUUUAAAACUUAUUUGGAAAUUAAUACAUUUUAACGUCAUUUUCUUUCAAAUGAAACAACAUCGUUUUGUUAAAACGGCAUUGUCUCAUGCAUUGUUCAUAAAAAAAGCCCAAAAUAGUGCCGUCUUGAACUGCAUUGUGUGUCUUCUUCUUCCCUGACUCACAUAGGCAGGGGAAGAAGGUUUUCGUCCCCUCUUUUGCAGCGUCCGUUUGGCUCUCUCCUAAGAACUCAAAACCCCGACACAAUCCACACCCUCUCAUGACAUACUACCAUGAUGAAAAAGCUAGGAGAACCAUGCCUAAUUGCGACUUUGGGGCGGCUGCAUAGAGGUCGCCUCAGCCACCCUACCUUUACACCAUGACUGGACAAAAAUAGUAGCUCUUUCUUCCCCUUUCCGCCCUUAUAAAUACUAGGGGACAGAGAGGAGCAGGGGACGAAAAAACGAGUGAAAUUAUAGAGAGAAAGAAAGAAAAAGAAGAACAAAAGAGAAAAAGAAACAAGGAACUUGAGAACUAAACAAGAAGAGACAGAGAGGAAAGAACUUAUAAAAAAGGGACAGAAACAAGAGAAGAGGAUGAAAACAAAAAUAGAGAGGAGUUACAUAAGAAGUGAAACAAAGGAAAAACACACUGGAAAAAAAAAAACUGUCGACCGGCACAACAGCUCCCUAUUGCACAGCCACCUUGUUAGGAAGAAGAACAGUUCCUCGCCGCGAACCAUCGCCAGCCGCCACCAGUAGCACUGCCACCGCUAGAGAACAAAAGGAGAAGAACAGAUAAAUAUAGGGAAGGAAAAGAGAUAACAGAAGACAAGCAGAAGGAAAAUACAGAGAAAGAGGAAGAACAACCAGCAGCGUCCUCCGCAAACCACCGCCAGUCCUCUUCGCCCAACGUCAACAACAGCACCGCCACUGCAGGUCAGCUUCCACCUCCUUUAUUUUCCUCUUCUCCUUCUCUGCGUGCAACCUCUACUGUUCACGUUUCUGAGCAGAAACUGCCCUUACCUUGCAUUAUUUGUUGUAUAACGAACCAAAUAUCGACCUCAUUCACUUCACUUGCCUCCUACAAUUACUGUCGUUUGCUCAAAGCUAUAUGUUCUACUUUCUAGCUGCUGGCUGAUCAUUAUACUGGGAGCAAGUAUCGAGGAGCCUGACACCCUCGAUUCCCCAUGCACCUUCUUUCAUUUCUCGUUUAUUUGUAGACGUGCUAGUAUAUGUUUUGGAAUGAUGAGUCUCUCUCUUAUGUUAUUUAUUAUUAAAAUGAAAAUAAAGUGUGCGUAGGGACAUCAUGUUAAACUAAAAAAACUAAAAAAAAGAAAAUGAAAGCAAGGAAAACAAAAUGUCAUAUUUUGGCAAUAGAAUACUCAAGCCAAAAAUAUGCUUAAAUGACUUAUAUUGAAACCUUUGAGAUUGUGCUCCAUCUGCAUGACUAGGAUUUACAUAUGGGUCAAGAUUAAUGUAUACUUUUUGAAUAUUAUCGGCAUUAUUAACUAAAAAUUCAACUAUUUGCCAAUAUAAUUCUAGAUUACGUUUAAGAGUUGUAAUGUUAAAUUUUAAACCAUGCAUAAUUCUUUUUUAAAGACUGAAAAAAUUCUUAAGACCCUAUAUUUUCAAAACUAAAAGGUUUAGAAUUUGUUGUCCUCCACCCACUUGAUGAUCUAUCACUUACUUUCUUAAAACUUAAAUCUAUAUCUUUGUAUUUCUUUGGAUUUUUGUUACUCCUCGACAUUAUAAAGAUACUAUAUAUAAUAAAAUUUAUACCCAAAUCAUAAGACAAUCAUGAAUACAAUAAAAACUAAAAAUAUUACAACAACUUUAAUUUUCAACAACCAUUACAAGCAAUUCAAACCAAUAAGAUUUUAGCAAAUUAUAAAUAGGAGAGUACAAAAAAUCGACAACAACCAUACAUAUGGCACUUGGCCUUUACUGUAUGUUAUUAAUACCUAAUUAAAAGAAGUAAAGAGUAGACAACUACAUAACAAGAGUAAUUUCAUCAUACUAACACAGGAUCAAACCCGUUCCAUGUUCACUGCAUAUAUAGCAAAUCUCCUCAUGCCGAUCACCCCACCAGUUCAACCACUUUCUCGUUGGACUUCACCACUACCGACACUGGAAACUCAUUAGAACCAAUGCACUUCCCAGCAAUCUCAGACUCAUUCGCUUUUACAAUAUCGUCAGUAAAAUAUCGUAUAUUCCAGUCGGAGGAACCACCCUCAGCCACUGCUGCCUCGGCUGCCUCCUUCCAUUUCAUUGCAUUCUGCUUCAUUUCCACUGCCUUAGGUCCCACUGUGGCCUCCAACAAGCAUUUCUCUAUCUCAUCACGAGUAAUCAGUUUGUUCUCUGCUUCUCCGCGGCACAAUCUCACACCAACCUUAAGGAUGUCGACCAAAUAUUUUGCAUUAGUUACUUGAUCACCCCAUUGAGGGAAAGCCACCACUGGCAUGCCUGAUGUGAGUGCUUCCAUAGUAGAGUUCCACCCACAAUGUGUUACAAAGCACGCAACUGAUGGGUGACCUAAAACCUUCUCUUGAGGACUCCAUUGCACCACAUUGCCCCUGUCUCCUGCUUUCUCCAAGAACCCAUCUGGCAGAACAAGGAGGUCAUUUCCUGAAUCUUUGUGGGGUGGUUUCAUAACUAACAAGAAGGAGACGCCCGAAUUCAGUAACCCACAAGCCAUCUCGUUCCAUUGGUCUUGCUUCAAUUGUACGACACUACCGAAAGACACAUAAAUAACUGAUGAAGGUGGCUUUGUGUCAAGCCAUUCGAUGCAAUCAUCUGCCUUCAGCAAGUCUCCAUGGACCGUUGUCUUUAGUACCUUAGGAUUUCUGAAUAGCGGCCCAAC